GACGAACGCUGGCGGCGCGCCUAACACAUGCAAGUCGAACGAGCGAGAGAGAGCUUGCUUUCUUGAGCGAGUGGCGAACGGGUGAGUAACGCGUGAGGAACCUGCCUCAAAGAGGGGGACAACAGUUGGAAACGACUGCUAAUACCGCAUAAGCCCACGGUGCCGCAUGGCACAGAGGGAAAAGGAGCAAUCCGCUUUGAGAUGGCCUCGCGUCCGAUUAGCUAGUUGGUGAGGUAACGGCCCACCAAGGCGACGAUCGGUAGCCGGACUGAGAGGUUGAACGGCCACAUUGGGACUGAGACACGGCCCAGACUCCUACGGGAGGCAGCAGUGGGGAAUAUUGCACAAUGGGGGAAACCCUGAUGCAGCGACGCCGCGUGGAGGAAGAAGGUCUUCGGAUUGUAAACUCCUGUUGUUGGGGAAGAUAAUGACGGUACCCAACAAGGAAGUGACGGCUAACUACGAG
Molecule: ribosomal RNA, 466 nt
Filed under: uncultured bacterium
Lineage: Bacteria
Description: partial 16S ribosomal RNA
Rfam family: Bacterial small subunit ribosomal RNA
Source: RNAcentral